UACGUAGGGGGCUAGCGUUGUCCGGAAUCAUUGGGCGUAAAGAGCGCGUAGGCGGCCAGAUAAGUCCGGUGUGAAAGUCAAAGGCUCAACCUUUGAAUGCCGCUGGAAACUGUCUGGCUAGAGUCCGGGAGGGGCGAGUGGAAUUCCUGGUGUAGCGGUGAAAUGCGCAGAUAUCAGGAAGAACACCAAUGGCGAAGGCAGCUCUCUGGGACGGUACUGACGCUGAGACGCGAAAGCGUGGGGAGCGAACAGG
Molecule: ribosomal RNA, 253 nt
Filed under: uncultured bacterium
Lineage: Bacteria
Description: partial 16S ribosomal RNA
Rfam family: Bacterial small subunit ribosomal RNA
Source: RNAcentral